This 446-nucleotide ribosomal RNA is filed under the name uncultured bacterium. Its description in RNAcentral is "bacterial SSU rRNA". It matches the Rfam family "Bacterial small subunit ribosomal RNA", at positions 330 to 792 of the family's 1533-position model. The record is from RNAcentral.
ACCAGACUCCUACGGGAGGCAGCAGUGGGGGAUAUUGCACAAUGGGGGAAACCCUGAUGCAGCGACGCCGCGUGAGUGAAGAAGUAUUUCGGUAUGUAAAGCUCUAUCAGCAGGGAAGAAAAAAGACGGUACCUGACUAAGAAGCCCCGGCUAACUACGUGCCAGCAGCCGCGGUAAUACGUAGGGGGCAAGCGUUAUCCGGAUUUACUGGGUGUAAAGGGAGCGUAGACGGCAAUACAAGUCGGAAGUGAAAUACCCGGGCUCAACCUGGGAACUGCUUUGGAAACUGUAUGGCUGGAGUGCUGGAGAGGUAAGCGGAAUUCCUAGUGUAGCGGUGAAAUGCGUAGAUAUCAGGAGGAACACCGGUGGCGAAGGCGGCUUACUGGACCAUAACUGACGUUGAGGCUCGAAAGCGUGGGGAGCGAACGGGAUUAGAUACCCGAGUA